UGGGGAAUCUUGCACAAUGGGCGAAAGCCUGAUGCAGCGACGCCGCGUGCGGGAUGAAGGCCUUCGGGUUGUAAACCGCUUUCAGCAGGGACGAGGCCGCAAGGUGACGGUACCUGCAGAAGAAGCCCCGGCUAACUACGUGCCAGCAGCCGCGGUAAUACGUAGGGGGCAAGCGUUAUCCGGAUUCAUUGGGCGUAAAGCGCGCGUAGGCGGUUUGUUAGGUCAGGAGUUAAAUCUGGGGGCUCAACCCCUAUCCGCUCCUGAUACCGGCAGGCUUGAGUCUGGUAGGGGAAGGCGGAAUUCCAAGUGUAGCGGUGAAAUGCGCAGAUAUUUGGAAGAACACCGGUGGCGAAGGCGGCCUUCUGGGCCACGACUGACGCUGAGGCGCGAAAGUUAGGGGAGCGAACAGG
This 410-nucleotide ribosomal RNA is filed under the name Verrucomicrobiota bacterium. RNAcentral's name for it is "Verrucomicrobia bacterium partial 16S ribosomal RNA". It matches the Rfam family "Bacterial small subunit ribosomal RNA", at positions 355 to 776 of the family's 1533-position model. Lineage: Bacteria; Pseudomonadati; Verrucomicrobiota. The record is from RNAcentral.